RNAcentral lists this ribosomal RNA (596 nucleotides) under Psychrobacter sp. V4.MS.26. RNAcentral describes it as "bacterial SSU rRNA". It matches the Rfam family "Bacterial small subunit ribosomal RNA", at positions 459 to 1054 of the family's 1533-position model. The record is from RNAcentral. Lineage: Bacteria; Pseudomonadati; Pseudomonadota; Gammaproteobacteria; Moraxellales; Moraxellaceae.
CCCGUUAGCGAUGACAUUAGCUGCAGAAUAAGCACCGGCUAACUCUGUGCCAGCAGCCGCGGUAAUACAGAGGGUGCAAGCGUUAAUCGGAAUUACUGGGCGUAAAGCGAGCGUAGGUGGCUUGAUAAGUCAGAUGUGAAAUCCCCGGGCUUAACCUGGGAACUGCAUCUGAUACUGUUAAGCUAGAGUAGGUGAGAGGGAAGUAGAAUUCCAGGUGUAGCGGUGAAAUGCGUAGAGAUUUGGAGGAAUACCGAUGGCGAAGGCAGGCUCCUGGCAUCAUACUGACACUGAGGCUCGAAAGCGUGGGUAGCAAACAGGAUUAGAUACCCUGGUAGUCCACGCCGUAAACGAUGUNUACUAGUCGUUGGGUCCCUUGAGGACUUAGUGACGCAGCUAACGCAAUAAGUAGACCGCCUGGGGAGUACGGCCGCAAGGUUAAAACUCAAAUGAAUUGACGGGGGCCCGCACAAGCGGUGGAGCAUGUGGUUCAAUUCGAUGCAACGCGAAGAACCUUACCUGGUCUUGACAUACACAGAAUCUUGUAGAGAUACGAGAGUGCCUUCGGGAAUUGUGAUACAGGUGCUGCAUGGCUGUCG